Molecule: small nuclear RNA, 187 nt
Filed under: Sinocyclocheilus anshuiensis
Lineage: Eukaryota; Metazoa; Chordata; Actinopteri; Cypriniformes; Cyprinidae
Description: U2 spliceosomal RNA (ENSSANG00000029665.1)
Rfam family: U2 spliceosomal RNA
About the family: U2 is a small nuclear RNA (snRNA) component of the spliceosome (involved in pre-mRNA splicing). Complementary binding between U2 snRNA (in an area lying towards the 5' end but 3' to hairpin I) and the branchpoint sequence (BPS) of the intron results the bulging out of an unpaired adenosine, on the BPS, which initiates a nucleophilic attack at the intronic 5' splice site, thus starting the first of two transesterification reactions that mediate splicing.
Source: Rfam by way of RNAcentral
AUCGCUUCUCGGCCUUUUGGCUAAGAUCAAGUGUAGUAUCUGUUCUUAUCAGUUUAAUAUCUGAUACGUGCCCUACCCGGGCACCAUAUAUUAAAUUGAUUUUUGGAGCAGGCGGAACUGUUGCAGCUUGCGCAAAAUGAAAACAAAGUUACACUAGCGGUGCACCAGCUUAAAAUGACAUGCUCAU